CUUCCAGGCUUGGGCUUUGACAGGAAUCUUUCUAUUUGGGCCAGCCAGUGCAGCCAUCUGUUACAUUGUGUGCAUCAGGCCAAGAUCUUUUGCCUGCUCAAAAGAGACUUUUAUGCUUUUCCAGCAUUUUUACACAGCACAAGGGAUCUGGUUUGAGAGGACCCUCCACCCAUAAGCACAGGAAACACAGCACAAAGUGUUAAAAAUGCCAAUGGAAAUUCACCUUGAAUGGAAAUAGACCAACAACAACUGCAAACAAUUCAUGGUAUGAAAAUCCAUUGUGAAACUAGAGUGGCACACAUCACGUUAUAUGGCUGUUGUAGUACAUCAUUCAGUGCUGUAAGGAACUGAAGGAAGGAAUGCCUCAAGCAUUCAUUGACACAGAAAACCUCAAGGACAAGCUGUGGUCAUUGUGAUUAGUCUAAGGAAAAUCGCCCAAAGAAGUGGCAAUGUAUUGAAGGAUGCACCCCCCACUCCCUUGCAGUUGUAUUGACAAACUCCUUGGAUAGGCCUCAAAGAGGGGAAACCUGGACUGAGUGAAACCAAAUGUUUCUCAUUAAGCACAAGGACCACUAAUCACUGGCUCCACUGUGUAAGCCUGACACUUAGUGGCUCUACUGUGUGGGCCAGACACCCUGCAUGCAUCGCUAAUGGCUUCAUGACUUCACCACUGAAGAGGUGAUAAGAACUGAUAAGAGGUGAUCAUUUCUGCCCCAGAAGCUGGAUGAUUGCUCAAGAAGCAUUAAGUCAGCAAAAAUCUGGGAACUGAGGAAAAAGAGAUGGGCAGGGCAAGCAUGACCACCAACUCAAUUGGAAAAGGGGGUUGGUGCAACCCAUUCCUCCUCAAUGCACGCACAGAACCCACGCUCCACCUUUUUCCUUGUCUCUCAGGGAAAUGAGUUUGUGGAAUACCUGCCUCUCUUUCUAGUUUGCUAAGCAGCUGAUAAGAUGAACUUAAAAGGCAACAGAAACUUUGCUGUGUGUGCACCUACCACCCAAGAUUACCGGACCUGAGACAGCGUUGGAUCUAGAGGUGGUGACUGAAUUUCUUUGACUUUCUUUCUCUCUCUCUAUUUUAUUUCUUUUCUUUUAGAUUUAUGAGACCUCACUGCUUAUUAUCCUUUUCCAAGUUUAAGUUGUUCUCUACUGCAAGUAAAAUAUUUUAACUGGUCAUUUGAUGUUGUUUCACCUUAAUUUAACCCAAGGGGAUCAUAAAACUGUUAUGACUCUCUGGAAUCCCAGCCUGGGUCAUGACAAGUGUCUAUUCACUAUCCAAUACCAUGGUAUAAUUGCAUAAUUCAGAAAGUAAUCCGAAAGAGAUCACAAAUUUCCGCUGCAGAGAGAGUUACAU
RNAcentral lists this long non-coding RNA (1351 nucleotides) under Athene cunicularia (burrowing owl). Its description in RNAcentral is "lncRNA (ENSACUG00000004533.1)". The record is from RNAcentral. Lineage: Eukaryota; Metazoa; Chordata; Aves; Strigiformes; Strigidae.